Molecule: ribosomal RNA, 434 nt
Filed under: uncultured Roseburia sp.
Lineage: Bacteria; Bacillati; Bacillota; Clostridia; Lachnospirales; Lachnospiraceae
Description: partial 16S ribosomal RNA
Rfam family: Bacterial small subunit ribosomal RNA
Source: RNAcentral
ACGGGAGGCAGCAGUGGGGGAUAUUGCACAAUGGGGGAAACCCUGAUGCAGCGACGCCGCGUGAACGAAGAAGUAUUUCGGUAUGUAAAGUUCUAUCAGCAGGGAAGAUAAUGACGGUACCUGACUAAGAAGCACCGGCUAAAUACGUGCCAGCAGCCGCGGUAAUACGUAUGGUGCAAGCGUUAUCCGGAUUUACUGGGUGUAAAGGGAGCGCAGACGGCAUAGCAAGCCAGAUGUGAAAGGUGGGGGCUCAACCCCCAAACUGCAUUUGGAACUGUUAAGCUAGAGUGUCGGAGAGGUAAGUGGAAUUCCUAGUGUAGCGGUGAAAUGCGUAGAUAUUAGGAGGAACACCAGUGGCGAAGGCGGCUUACUGGACGAUAACUGACGUUGAGGCUCGAAAGCGUGGGGAGCAAACAGGAUUAGAUACCCUGGUA